Molecule: non-coding RNA, 752 nt
Organism: Nothobranchius furzeri (turquoise killifish)
Lineage: Eukaryota; Metazoa; Chordata; Actinopteri; Cyprinodontiformes; Nothobranchiidae
Source: RefSeq, a predicted model, not a curated record
GGAGCAUGGAUUCGUCUUCGGCGUGCUCCGGCUGGCGUCGGAAGUAGUUCCGGCUUCUCAUCAGCGGAGCUCCGAGCGCCCCGAAGAGCCCGGAUCUUCUGCUGCCGAGCUUUAAACGUGAACAGCGGGUCGAGUCUUUCCGUCACGAGCGUCGAAUGACCAACGAGCCAGCGGUCAGUUCAGUUCGACUCCAGCGGAGCUCCGACCCCCUCAGCCCGGGUGACACGCGCAGAGGAACCGGGGGAGACCUUUUGUCUUCGAGGGGGAUUUUUCAAGUGCAUAAUCAUCAGGCGACGGAAUACAAAACCCCAGAGCCGGUUCAUAUUCAUAUACCCGACGCUUGAAUGGAGAAAGCGUCGGCGUCUGGGCUCUGUUGUUGAAGGACACGCAAAGCAGCAGCCAUAGCGGUGGCUAAAUGAAGAUUUUGUGAACAUGCACGAGGAGAGGACUCCACCUUUCUCUUCACUGACUUCCCUAGAUGCUUUGGCCAAAGGAAAGAUGGAAAGAAAUGCGAAGAGUAAGCCACUUCACUCAUACCUUACCCCCUACACCACAAUGCUAAUGAAUGUAUAAUUAUCGCCGUUUUGAAUCCCCAUAGCUCACCGAGGAGACACGAUUUAUGCAGUGUUAAAGACUUAAGUGAUUAAAAUGCCAAAAUGUUUAUCUUCUGUUCUACGAAGCUAGGCCGUAUGUGGAAAAUAAUGUGCAACUUGACAUUCGUGUGUCGGUGCCAAGUUUGGUUUCUGCUCCAG